Molecule: long non-coding RNA, 1044 nt
Filed under: Erythranthe guttata (spotted monkey flower)
Lineage: Eukaryota; Viridiplantae; Streptophyta; Magnoliopsida; Lamiales; Phrymaceae
Description: long non-coding RNA (EGUT_LNC003308)
Source: RNAcentral
ACUAAUCCAAGAAUUAGAAAGUGUGUCUACAUAAUCUUUAUGUAUAAAUAGAGCAACAAGGUUUGCAAUAUAAGGCAUUAAACACACACACACACACACACACUAAACACAUAGAGGAAAUGGCAGCCAAUGGGGUUCAACUGUUUGUUACUAUAAUAGCUUUCUCUCUCAUCUUCUCUUCAUUUGAUCUCCCAAUUUCAAGUAAAAUAUGCUUCUAACUACUCUUUCCCUAAUUGUCUUAGUUUAAGAAUGUCAUGUUUUAAUUUCAACAUUUUUAAAUUAAUUAUCAUCUUUUAUAUAUGUUUAUUGUCAUUGUUAUUACAGGAGCUUUCCAAGCUAUUUCUUCAUCAGAGGUGAAUUAAUUUUAACCCGAAAAAAUUCAUAUUAUUUUUUUAUUUUAUUUUUAAUUUCUUGGAUCAAAUUUUUAUAUUUUCUUGAUUAAUGGAGACAGGUGGAAGAUCAUGAGUUUGUAUUUCAGAGAAGAAUGGAGUUUGAAAUCAACAGAGACUACCCUGGAUCCGGAGCGAAUAACCGUCACACCCCGAAUCCACCGGUUAAAGAUUAAUUCAGAAUUGCAGCUAAUUAUUAAUUAAUAUGAAUAGUGUUCAAUUCUUAUGUAUGUAUAGCACAUUGUAGUAUAUCAGAAAACCUCGUAUUGCACCUUUCGAAAUCGACAACAAGGUUCGAUAGAGUAUUUCAGUUCGAUGGGCACGAAAAUUUAUUAAGGAUGAUAUUCCGAUGUGGGAAAAAAUUAAAAUCAUCAAGAACUGGAUCUAGUUUUCAGCUUCUUAGCAUGCAGUUCUUCAUUUUGUUUAUACAUUUCGAUGAACUCUUUGACGAUCGGAUUAAACGCUUACGGUACGUUACGACUAAUAUAAUCACGCAAGAUGAUUUCGGAGAUCGAAAGUCAGGAAAGGGAUGAUCAGGGAAUCUAAUUAAUUGGAAAGAUAUUUUAAUUUAAAUUCAGACAAAUUAAACAAUUAAAAUGAAAAUUGUCUUAACGUAAACUAUCCAUUGAAGAUUGGAUAAAAAAAAAGAAAAAAA